AUGAACGCUAGCUACAGGCUUAACACAUGCAAGUCGAGGGGCAGCAUUUUAGUUUGCUUGCAAACUGAAGAUGGCGACCGGCGCACGGGUGAGUAACACGUAUCCAACCUGCCGAUAACUCCGGAAUAGCCUUUCGAAAGAAAGAUUAAUACCGGAUAGCAUACGAAUAUCGCAUGAUAUUUUUAUUAAAGAAUUUCGGUUAUCGAUGGGGAUGCGUUCCAUUAGUUUGUUGGCGGGGUAACGGCCCACCAAGACUACGAUGGAUAGGGGUUCUGAGAGGAAGGUCCCCCACAUUGGAACUGAGACACGGUCCAAACUCCUACGGGAGGCAGCAGUGAGGAAUAUUGGUCAAUGGGCGAGAGCCUGAACCAGCCAAGUAGCGUGAAGGAUGAAGGCUCUAUGGGUCGUAAACUUCUUUUAUAUGGGAAUAAAGUUUUCCACGUGUGGAAUUUUGUAUGUACCAUAUGAAUAAGGAUCGGCUAACUCCGUGCCAGCAGCCGCGGUAAUACGGAGGAUCCGAGCGUUAUCCGGAUUUAUUGGGUUUAAAGGGAGCGUAGGUGGAUUGUUAAGUCAGUUGUGAAAGUUUGCGGCUCAACCGUAAAAAUUGCAGUUGAAACUGGCAGUCUUGAGUACAGUAGACGUGGGCGGAAUUCCUGGUGUAGCGGUGAAAUGCUUAGAUAUCACGAAGAACUCCGAUUGCGAAGGCAGCUCACUAAACUGUCCCUGACACUGGCGCUCGAAAGUGUGGGUAUCAAACAGGAUUAGAUACCCUGGUAGUCCCACACAGUAAACGAUGAAUACUCGCUGUUUGCGAUAUACAGUAAGCGGCCAAGCGAAAGCAUUAAGUAUUCCACCUGGGGGAGUACGCCGGCAACGGUGAAACUCAAAGGAAUUGACGGGGGGCCCGCACAAGCGGAGGAACAUGUGGUUUAAUUCGAUGAUACGCGAGGAACCUUACCCGGGCUUAAAUUGCAACAGAAUAUAUUGGAAACAGUAUAGCCGUAAGGCUGUUGUGAAGGUGCUGCAUGGUUGUCGUCAGCUCGUGCCGUGAGGUGUCGGCUUAAGUGCCAUAACGAGCGCAACCCUUAUCUUUAGUUACUAACAGGUUAUGCUGAGGACUCUAGAGAGACUGCCGUCGUAAGAUGUGAGGAAGGUGGGGAUGACGUCAAAUCAGCACGGCCCUUACGUCCGGGGCUACACACGUGUUACAAUGGGGGGUACAGAAGGCGGCUACCUGGUGACAGGAUGCUAAUCCCAAAAACCUCUCUCAGUUCGGAUCGAAGUCUGCAACCCGACUUCGUGAAGCUGGAUUCGCUAGUAAUCGCGCAUCAGCCAUGGCGCGGUGAAUACGUUCCCGGGCCUUGUACACACCGCCCGUCAAGCCAUGAAAGCCGGGGGUACCUGAAGUACGUAACCGCAAGGAGCGUCCUAGGGUAAAACUGGU
Molecule: ribosomal RNA, 1444 nt
Filed under: uncultured organism
Description: 16S ribosomal RNA
Rfam family: Bacterial small subunit ribosomal RNA
Source: RNAcentral